GGUUAAGCGACUAAGCGUACACGGUGGAUGCCCUGGCAGUCAGAGGCGAUGAAGGGCGUGCUAAUCUGCGAUAAGCGCCGGUAAGGUGAUAUGAACCGUUAUAACCGGCGAUACCCGAAUGGGGAAACCCAGUGUGACUCGUCACACUAUCAUUAACUGAAUCCAUAGGUUAAUGAGGCGAACCGGGGGAACUGAAACAUCUAAGUACCCCGAGGAAAAGAAAUCAACCGAGAUUCCCCCAGUAGCGGCGAGCGAACGGGGAGGAGCCCAGAGCCUGAAUCAGCAUGUGUGUUAGUGGAAGCGUCUGGAAAGGCGCGCGAUACAGGGUGACAGCCCCGUACACAAAAGCGCAUGUGCUGUGAGCUCGAUGAGUAGGGCGGGACACGUGGUAUCCUGUCUGAAUAUGGGGGGACCAUCCUCCAAGGCUAAAUACUCCUGACUGACCGAUAGUGAACCAGUACCGUGAGGGAAAGGCGAAAAGAACCCCGGCGAGGGGAGUGAAAAAGAACCUGAAACCGUGUACGUACAAGCAGUGGGAGCCCCACCACUAAGCCAGUGGUGAACUCCACAUACGCAUCCUUUGCUGAGGAUACGGUUAACGGAGCGCAAGCGACGUUCAACCUCAAAAGAAGCAGAGGGGGCUUAGUGGUGGGGUGACUGCGUACCUUUUGUAUAAUGGGUCAGCGACUUAUAUUCUGUAGCAAGGUUAACCGAAUAGGGGAGCCGGAGGGAAACCGAGUCUUAAUUGGGCGUUAAGUUGCAGGGUAUAGACCCGAAACCCGGUGAUCUAGCCAUGGGCAGGUUGAA
This 807-nucleotide ribosomal RNA is filed under the name Salmonella enterica. RNAcentral describes it as "partial 23S ribosomal RNA". It matches the Rfam family "Bacterial large subunit ribosomal RNA", at positions 1 to 749 of the family's 2925-position model. Lineage: Bacteria; Pseudomonadati; Pseudomonadota; Gammaproteobacteria; Enterobacterales; Enterobacteriaceae. The record is from RNAcentral.